Molecule: long non-coding RNA, 296 nt
Filed under: Struthio camelus australis
Lineage: Eukaryota; Metazoa; Chordata; Aves; Struthioniformes; Struthionidae
Description: lncRNA (ENSSCUG00000017708.1)
Source: RNAcentral
CUGACUUUGGCCUGGGCAAGCGAGGGAACGCCAGGAGACUUGCUGGCGGGAGCAGGCUAGCUUGAUACAUGAUAGUCCUGAACGACAACUGGGGAAGACGGACGGACGGGCUUGCUGUAAUUCGCAGACAAGGGAGCUCGGGCAGGAGAUCCACUCCAGCUUCUAGGAACAGCCAGGAAAAGCCGAAGGGCGCCAGGCCCCGCCGGUCAGGUUGCCUGAGAUCUUUUUGCACUGGGUGCUGUGCCCUUGCUCCGCAACUCUCAUCUAAUUUUCCAUUAUUAUCAAUGCCAUCGGUA